This 223-nucleotide ribosomal RNA is filed under the name uncultured bacterium. RNAcentral's name for it is "partial 16S ribosomal RNA". It matches the Rfam family "Bacterial small subunit ribosomal RNA", at positions 15 to 219 of the family's 1533-position model. The record is from RNAcentral.
GAUCCUGGCUCAGGAUGAACGCUGGCGGCGUGCUUAACACAUGCAAGUCGAGCGAAGCGCUUGCCAUUGACUCUUCGGAAGAUUUGGCAUUUGACUGAGCGGGCGGACGGGUGAGUAACGCGUGGGUAACCUGCCUCAUACAGGGGAAUAACAGUUAGAAAUGGCUGCUAAUGCCGCAUAAGCGCACAGGACUGCAUGGUCUGGUGUGAAAAACUGAGGUGGU